Molecule: long non-coding RNA, 397 nt
Organism: Dermacentor andersoni
Lineage: Eukaryota; Metazoa; Arthropoda; Arachnida; Ixodida; Ixodidae
Source: RefSeq, a predicted model, not a curated record
ACCGCUUCCUCGCCGGAGGACAUGUUGUCGCCGCCGCGCCUCCUCCGCCACCGCUGCGCCGGGGAAGGAAGCCGCCGGCCCGAUGCGCGUCAGUCGCAGUAUAACAACCUGCGAGAGGAACCAAGAUCCAGCACUCAAGCACGCAGCACGGCCUUGCUCCAGAAGUUGUCUCCAUAAUCAGAUGUCUUCAAGAUUGAGUUUUAAAGCACUAGUCUUCAACAACGUCAUACCGAGACCACAUUGAGAAAUUUUUCAGCACCAUUAAGGUUUGAUAUGUAAGCUUGUAAGAAGCUAGAUACGUAGGAAGUUCGCUGUUUCUGUUUUGUUUUCAUGUGUCUUAUUUAGCCAUGAGCCUUUCUUGCUUGAAAUAAAAUACUUUUUAUAUUUCCGUAGAAAA